This 91-nucleotide microRNA precursor is filed under the name Malus domestica (apple). RNAcentral describes it as "miR156u stem-loop (mdm-MIR156u, mdm-MIR156v)". Its record names the gene mdm-MIR156u. The record is from miRBase by way of RNAcentral. Lineage: Eukaryota; Viridiplantae; Streptophyta; Magnoliopsida; Rosales; Rosaceae.
AUGUUGACAGAAGAGAGAGAGCACAACCCGCCAUCGGCUAAGGAGAGUCUUUACGUUGCUGGGAGUGUGCUUUCUCUUCUUCUGUCAUCAU